AAAAAGCAAAAAUAUAAGUUGAAGAAAUUACAAUCUAAUAUUCAUAGGUAAACAGGACUCAAUAUCAAUACUUGCAAGAAGGCAAACUGCUUCUUUAUUUCUAUUGGUUUUGAUAUUUUUUGAAAAAAUUCGCCACAAAAAUUUGCAAAUAAUUCAUUGACAAACAGUGCUAAAAAAUAAUGCUGCUGGCAGACUACAAUUUUCUAAUAUUACG
RNAcentral lists this long non-coding RNA (214 nucleotides) under Mytilus galloprovincialis (Mediterranean mussel). Lineage: Eukaryota; Metazoa; Mollusca; Bivalvia; Mytilida; Mytilidae. The record is from RNAcentral.